AUUGUGCAAUAAUGCAGCAACAUUCAAGAUGUCAAUAUUCCCAAAGUGUAAGUACAUGUACUAAGAGUUAAAGGUGAUUUAAUUAUAAAAAUAGGAAGAUGGUGCAAGAGGUAAUUUACUGAAUAAUUUUUUUAAACUAUGACUGUACAUUGCAAACACAUGAGUAAUAGCAAUAAGCCAUUUUUCAAACCAAAAGAGGCAUAUUGAUAAUUAUGUCUUGUCAUUUUACUGACUGCUUUUGUUUCUAGUUUUCAUUUUUUCAUCUGUAUGGGAUUCAUACUUAUGUGUCAUUUGUGUUAUCAUUGGCUUUUCAGUUCAGGAUGAUAAACAGGAAGUAAAUUCAUUAAUUUUCAGAAUGGUUACUUUGUGUAAACAAUAUAAAACACUGCCAUGAAUUUGUACCAGUCCUUUGGAUAUUAACCGUUGGUUGGGAUCAGCCCUGAAUGACAAGUAGCAUGGAAGAUGACUUAGCUGGUACAGUGGACUUAGGUUGAGACUUGACAUCCACACAAUGUCAAGGGUCCCGAAACCACACGUGGCCAAUCACGGCAACGAAUGACAUUGUGAGGAUGGAGACUUGAAUGAUCGGCAGUAAACAAACAGAUAGCUGUCAGGAUAUAUAUGAAUUUGUAGUUAAAGUCCUGACCAUUUUAUUUGUAAGACAUAACGUUACUGAAGAUAAAAGAGAUUUACCGCGUCAGUCGUCCUAAAGAGACAUCGCGCAGCCGGUAGUAUAAACUUUUGUGAGGUCCUGUAGUGGGAAAAUCCCUAUCUUUUGAGGACAGUGCGUUGUCCCGUGAGCGAGAUGGCGCUAGUUCAGUGAAGAAGCCAGACGGGAUGGCAAUACUGGACGAGAGCAGAGGGGGGUACCGUGUGUUUGUGGGAGACCUUGGCAGUCGUGUGGGAAAAUAUGAGCUGGAGAGAGAGUUCCAGCAUUUUGGUCCUAUAUUGGACGUUUGGGUGGCCAGAAAUCCACCAGGAUUUGCAUUUCUGGUUUACAAGUAUGGGGAAGAUGCCGAAGAAGCCGUCAAGAAACUUCAUGGAAACUUGGUUUGUGGGCGUCGUGUGCGAGUAGAACACGCUGUCCCUUAUGGAGAGCAGACCACUGUCAAAUACAGCUCCCGAUCAGAGAGAAAUAGAUCGUCUAGAAGGUCACGUUCAAGGUCAAGAUCUCCAAGGCGACAAAGAUCUCCAGCAUCUCCAUCUUCUAGAAGAAAGACAAGGUCAUGCUCAAGAGACAGAAGGUCAAGAUCACAAAAUACAGAUGGAUCUAGAUUAAGGAAGAGAAACAGAACUAGGUCAAGGUCACAGUCAAGGAAGAGAGACAGAUCUAGAUCCAGAUCCAGGAAAAGGGAAAGAUCUGGAUCAAGAAAGAGAGACAGAUCUGGAUCAAGAAAGAGAGACAGAUCAGGAUCAAGGAAGAGAGAAAGAUCAGGAUCAAGGAAGAAAGACAGAUCUGGAUCAAGAAAGAGAGACAGAUCUGGAUCAAGGAAGAGAGAAAGAUCUAGAUCAAGGAAGAGAGACAGAUCAGGAUCAAGAAAGAGAGACAGAUCAGGAUCAAGAAAGAGAGACAGAUCAGGAUCAAGAAAGAGAGACAGAUCAGGAUCAAGAAAGAGAGACAGAUCCAGAUCAAAAAGGAGAGACAGAUCCAGAUCAAGAAAGGGAGACAGAUCUGGGUCAAGAUCAAGAAAAUGUGAUAGGUCAAGGUCAAGACAAAAGAAUAGAUCAAGGUCAAAAAGCCUAGAAAGAAGAAGUAAAGACAGAGACACAGAUGGAUUGUCAAAACAGAAAGUAGAUUCACUACACACCAAUAAUGAUGUUGAAAGGUUGAAUUCCAAGUCCCCGGCAGAAGAUAAACAACCAGAAGAGAGUAUGCCAGAAGCUAAGGAAAAUUCUUCUGCUGAUAAGGUUGAUGAGAAUACAAAGCUGAGUGAUAACAAUGGGCUCAGUGAAGAUGUAGACGUCAGAAUGUCAGAGGAGGAACAGGAAACAGGGGAGAACAAAGCAAGGAAUGAUGAAAUUUCAAAUGGUAAAGAUGAAAGCAAGAAAAUGAAUCAAAAUAGUUACAGCUACUCAAGGGAGAUAACUAACUUGGAAGCAUUUGACAAAGAACCGUAACUCUUCCAUCAGCUACAGCAAAUUUCAUGUAACAAACCACCACUCAAGUUCUGAUAGCUGCAACUUAUGACUUGUCAAUCCACUUAAGGACACACCUUCACAAAGAGGAUUAACCAAUCAGAAACUGUUUUACUUGGAACAAGGAGGAGAAAGUGAAGCAUCAUGGGAGGGACAAAUUUGACAGGAUUGGAAGUCGAGCAGACAGCCCAAACUCAGAAGGUUCUGAGGAUUGAACUCACUCGCACCAAGAGGGCAAGAUCUAGCCAGUCAAAUGCCAGGCUGUAAUUGUCAAUCAGAAAUCAUAUUACAGCAAUCAUUGAUGACAAAUCAAAGUCUCAGAUAAUUUAUUUUAAUCACACUUUGAAUUAUACCAUGAUACAAUGUUAAAAAUAAUGUCUGUGUUUUAGUUACACUCCAACACACAUGUUGUCUGUUACAAGUAUUAAUGUUGAAAUUUUACAUUUACUGUAACUUUUCAUAAAUCAUUUUUCAAAAAUAUAUAUUGCCAAUAACACAUUGAUUUAAACCUGAUUUGAUUGUCUCAAGAUAUAUCAGUAUUGGCAUCAGUUAGCUUUAAUUUAGAUCGAGGUUUUUGUGAUUUUUCUAGAUUUGGGCUUGGGUUGUGAAAAUUUUAUGAUAUUAAAAUAAACAAUAUAAUGGUCAUGUGAGGUAUUUCUGCAAUAUUCACUUUCUUUUUCAAGAUGUCAUGUGAGUUUCCUUUCAUAUAAAAAGAGUAUAAGACAUAUAUGUACAACGUACCCUAAUAAUUGUUCUUUAGUACAGGAUAUUGAGGAUGAUCGGGGUCUCUUAUUUCUUGACAAAUGAAAAUAACCAAGUAGGUACAUACGAUAGGGGAUUAAAAUGGAGGGGGGGGGGGGCAGAAAAGAGGGAGAAUAUAAUGCUGAACACUAUUGUCCCAUACAUAUACAUGUAUUUGCAGUCAUAUAAUUGUUCCAUACACAGUAAGUGCUUAUUAUGACAAAUUAUGAUUUUUUUGCAAUAAUAUUACUUCAUAUACAUUUUUUCGUAGUCAUUAGAAAUUUAUUUAUUGAAAAUAAUAUUUUUGUUGUAGAUAGACAAAUAAUACAUAGUUUAUGCAAUUAGGAUAAACACAAACAAACAGAAAAAAUUAAAAUAGCAUAUUUGCGAAUAUGUAAUACAGUGGGGCCUCUUGUAUUCAGAUUUUCCUUGCAUGUUCUUUACCUUCCAGACCAAGUGGAUGGGAAAUAAUUUAUCCAAGAAUGAUGGUAGAUAUGAUGCUGAUUUACUUAUCUGGAUUCUUUGUUAAUCUGCAUACCCGGGCAAAUUAUUUGAAGGAAAAAAUUUUCUUGAUGAAUGAAGCGCCACUAAGUAACCAUGAAAUGUGUGCAAUAUCAGCUAGUGCAAGUAGAAAUUGAUAUAGAACUGUGUCUCUUUCAGAUUUUUGUUAGUUUGUUAACUGUCUUGUGUUUCUAUGCAAGAAUCCCCUAACAAACUUUAUUGUUAUCUCAGUAUAUGUAAUGAAUAUACAUUUUUGUGGGCUACAUCUACUCAGUAUCUAAAGAUGCGGGAAAAUUUACAGACUUUUGCUUUUCAAUAUUUUGCAGUCCCAAUGGAAAAUACGAUAGGCUAUAGAAAAUGUUGCUUUGAAAAGUAUUUGUUUUUAUCUAUAAAUUACAUGUAUUGUAAAAUGGUUGUGUUUUGAGUGAUGUAGGAUUUUUAUUUAUGAAGAUAUUCAAUGAUGUGUUCAGCCUCUCCAAUGAACCAGUGCACGUUUUUGCUUGCUUCUAUAGAUUGUGUUCAUUGUUUACCACUAUAAAAGGUUCAAAGGGAUUAACAAAAUUAAUCUUUAGUAUUUAAGGUCAAAAAUAAAAUAAAUUAGAAUAAAAGAUUAAAAAUAAUGCUGCUGGCAUAUUCUUUCUGCCAAGAUCUACAAAGGGAAAUAACUCUUCAUUUUGAAAAAGUUAUCCUUCUUUUGAUUGUUUUGUUGCUGCAUCAUUUGACCUGGUGCAGUGGGGCUUGAAAGCUUGGCCAAAAUGAAGAUAAAACCACUACCACUAAAUGGAGUUCAUAAGUGUUAAUAUAUACCGGUACUCAUGUGUAUAAGCUAGGAAACAUAUAAUUCAUCACUUCUAUGCAUUGAUAUUUAUGAAUAAUUCUUGUUUGUUAUCAAAAUUUUUACUCUUGUUUAUUAUGAUGCCAUACUAAAUGGAAACAUUCCACUGUUAAAAUUGCCAUAUUUUACCCUUCUUAUAUAAUGUUCAUGUAUGCAUGAAUUAUGAUUUGAAUCUUCUGAUCUGUUUACCUGCUUUACAGAAAUAUUGGUAUACACGUACAUAUAUUAAUUGAUAUGUUUUAUAGGGGGUAAUUGUGGUCAAGUCUACAAUGAUGGUAUUAGUUUAGGGUAAUAUACAGCAGCUUCUUAUAAACCUACAAAUAUAAACAUUGUAUGAAUAUGUAUGUAAUAGUAUUAGAUGGGCUAUAGGGUACAUCUAUUGGAUCAAUGUGCUUCUCCGAGACUCUCAAAAUUCUCUAAGGUCCAAAAUCUGAAAAUCAAAAUUAAGGCAGUUACUUCAAUCCAUUUAUAGUCUGAUCGAUGAUUUCAUAAUUAAAGUUUCAACAGUCAAGUUUCUUCAUGCAUUUUUUUUUUUUUCAUUUUGUUAAGGUGGCUUACUACACCUUGAAAUAUUUUCUCAUAUCAGCAGAAAAUUACUUGAUUUUGAUAGAUAUCAUUAUGGAUAGGCAGUAUUUAAUGUGCAAUUUUGAAUGAAAAAUUACAUUUUCGAAAAUUUAAUUCAGUAAAUAUGAACAUUUAAGCUCCAGGCGGAUUCGAAUUCAUGAUCUGCAGUUCAGAAGCCUAAUACUAGUACUUUAACCACUGACCUACGACGAUAUACAACGCAAUUGAACAAUGUAAACAGUUUAAUUUACAAAACAUAUAAAUCACCAUCUUGUCACGUAGUGUCUUAAAAAGUAUAAGUCUAGGUUUAGUAAGGUACCUUAAUUGGCACUCGUUUCAGGAUGAUAGAAAACUGAGUUGUAAGCCAUAAGGUAGUCCAUGCAAAAAAAAAUUACACUGUUGUAGGAAAUUUUGAUUACCCCAUUUUGUAUGAAUUGAAGUACAUGUACUGUUUUUCAAUUAAAAUCUGUUUAUGUCACAUGACAUGUAUUAUGAUUCUAUGCAAUAGGAGUGAUUAUAUUGUUACAUGGUAUACUAUGCAGAUUCUAUUGUUCAAUAUUGGAACAUUUUAUUUUUGAUUUACAAAUGAAAUUUGUCUGUAGAUUUAAAAUACUUAAUUUUAUGAAUAAAUCUUUAUUAAUUUAAA
RNA transcript from Magallana angulata, 5423 nucleotides. It is a transcript of the gene named serine/arginine-rich splicing factor 7-like, with no coding region annotated. The transcript is spliced from 11 exons. The record is from RefSeq and is a predicted model, not a curated record. NCBI's taxonomy places the organism in Eukaryota, Metazoa, Mollusca, Bivalvia, Ostreida, Ostreidae.